UAUGGUAAUUGUGUGCCAGAAGAAGAGGUAAUACGGAGGAUGCGAGCGUUAUCCGGAUUUAUUGGGUUUAAAGGGAGCGCAGACGGGUCGUUAAGUCAGCUGUGAAAGUUUGGGGCUCAACCUUAAAAUUGCAGUUGAUACUGGCGUCCUUGAGUGCGGUUGAGGUGUGCGGAAUUCGUGGUGUAGCGGUGAAAUGCUUAGAUAUCACGAAGAACUCCGAUUGCGAAGGCAGCACACUAAUCCGUAACUGACGUUCAUGCUCGAAAGUGUGGGUAUCAAACAGG
Molecule: ribosomal RNA, 284 nt
Filed under: Phocaeicola plebeius DSM 17135
Lineage: Bacteria; Pseudomonadati; Bacteroidota; Bacteroidia; Bacteroidales; Bacteroidaceae
Description: partial 16S ribosomal RNA
Rfam family: Bacterial small subunit ribosomal RNA
Source: RNAcentral